GACGGAGGGUGCAAGCGUUGUUCGGAAUUACUGGGCGUAAAGCGUACGUAGGCGGCGGAUUAAGUCGAAUGUUAAAGCCUGGGGCUCAACCCCAGAGAUGCACUCGAUACUGGUUUGCUAGAGGGUGAUAGAGGAAAGUGGAAUUCCGAGUGUAGCGGUGAAAUGCGUAGAUAUUCGGAGGAACAUCAGUAGCGAAGGCGACUUUCUGGGUCACACCUGACGCUGAGGUACGAAAGCGUGGGGAGCAAAC
Molecule: ribosomal RNA, 250 nt
Filed under: uncultured bacterium
Lineage: Bacteria
Description: partial 16S ribosomal RNA
Rfam family: Bacterial small subunit ribosomal RNA
Source: RNAcentral